Molecule: ribosomal RNA, 495 nt
Filed under: uncultured bacterium
Lineage: Bacteria
Description: partial 16S ribosomal RNA
Rfam family: Bacterial small subunit ribosomal RNA
Source: RNAcentral
GACGAACGCUGGCGGCGUGCCUAAUACAUGCAAGUCGAACGCUGAAGGAGGAGCUUGCUUCUCUGGAUGAGUUGCGAACGGGUGAGUAACGCGUAGGUAACCUGCCUGGUAGCGGGGGAUAACUAUUGGAAACGAUAGCUAAUACCGCAUAAUAGUAGAUGUCGCAUGACAUUUGCUUAAAAGGUGCAAUUGCAUCACUACCAGAUGGACCUGCGUUGUAUUAGCUAGUUGGUGAGGUAACGGCUCACCAAGGCAACGAUACAUAGCCGACCUGAGAGGGGUGUCGGCCACCCUGGGACUGGGACCCGGCCCCGACCUCUACGGGGGGCCGCCGUAGGGGAUCUUCGGCCAUGGACGGAAGUCUGGCCGAGCCACGCCGCGUGAGUGAAGAAGGUUUUCGGAUCGUAAAGCUCUGUUGUAAGAGAAGAACGAGUGUGAGAGUGGAAAGUUCACACUGUGACGGUAUCUUACCAGAAAGGGACGGCUAACUACGUG